This is an RNA transcript of Pipra filicauda (Wire-tailed manakin), 2867 nucleotides long. It is a transcript of the gene named origin recognition complex subunit 3, with no coding region annotated. The record is from RefSeq and is a predicted model, not a curated record. NCBI's taxonomy places the organism in Eukaryota, Metazoa, Chordata, Aves, Passeriformes, Pipridae. The transcript has 20 exons.
AAGUCCUGAGGCGUCCUUCUUCCUUCUCCUCCUCCUCCUCAUGUCCGAUAACGCCGCGGCGCGGGGCGACAUGAGCACGUGCUCCGUAUCCAAGGGCUGCUUUGUUUUUAAACCAAGUACCAAGAAGAGAAAAUUGUCUCAGAGUACAGCUCAUGAUUUCGGAAUCAGAAACGAUGAUUCAGAGGAUACUGAGUUGCGGUUUGUUACUUGUCAGUCUUUAUGGAAUCAAAUUAAGUCAGAAACAGAGAAAGUACAGGAAGACUUGAAUAAGCAGUUGCUUGAUAAUCUGAUGAAUUUUUUGAGCCGGUUUCAUUCUGAAUUUCAAGAGAAGACAGCAGAAUGGACUUGCCGGAUGAAGUUCAGAGAAAUCCCCACUGCAGCUCUUGUCUUAGGUGUAAACGUUACAGAUCAUGACUUGACUUUCAGAAGUGUCUCAGACUUCCUUCAGAAUAACAUUACUCCUUAUAUAGCCUUGCUGGAAGCUAAAGACUGCCCAGGCAUAAAAAAUCUGAUGCAGAAGCUGAUGGGGCAGCUGAUGAACUGCUAUGUAGAUGUGGACUCAUUGGAAGAUGAGGACUAUGUGCAGGUUUCCCAGAAUAGAAUACGCUGUUCAAUGUCUUCUCUUAUCAAAUGGUAUGAGAGUGUAACAAAGAAAACGGAUUCUGAAACUCCAAGCAAAAAAAGAACUACUUCUACACACUGGCAGUCUCCUCCAGUUGUAGUCAUAUUCAAAGACAUGGAAAGUUUCACCACAAAAGUACUUCAAGACUUCAUAGUCAUCUGCAGUCAGCAUAUCCAUGAAUUACCUCUAGUGCUGAUUUUUGGAAUCGCUACAUCACCGAUGAUUAUCCACAGAUUACUUCCUCACUCUGUUUCCUCUCUGCUGUGCAUAGAGCUUUUCCAGUCCCUUUCCUGUAAGGACCACCUGUCUACUAUAAUUGACAAGCUGCUUCUGACAGCCCAGUUUCCCUUUAAACUGGGUGAAAAAGUUCUGCAGGUUCUCAUCAACAUAUUCUUGUACCAUGAUUUUUCUGUCCAGAAUUUUAUCAAAGGAUUUCAGCUCUGUAUUGUGGAGCACUUCUAUUCCCAGCCUCUUAGUGUACUGUGUUGCCAACUGGCAGAUCUUCAGAAGAGAGUUCAUUCUUUAUCUCAUGAUCAGUGUGAAAACAUUCGGAGACUGCCCUCUUUUAGAAGGUACGUGGAAGAGCAGGAGUCAGGGAAACAGGUUGCACUACUGACAACAGACAACUUCUUAAAGGAAGAAACACAGAAACUGCUGGAGGACUUACAUGUUUACCACGAAAAUUAUGUUUCAGUUCUGAGAUGUCUUCAUGUUUUCACAUCUUCUCUUCCAAAGUAUCCUUUGGGCAAGCAGAUCAGGGAGCUGCACUGUGCAUGUUUGGAAAACCAAGUGUGGGAGACAGAAGAGUAUGAGUCAUCUCUUCAGCUAGCAAGGAUGUUGAAUAAGUCUGAUUUGGUAACCAUGCUUCAACAAUGCAUGGAAAUUUUGCUGUCAUCUUCCGGAAAAGAGUUUGAUAAGACAGUAGAGAAGUUGAAGAAGUUCUUGACCGAGUUUGAGAAUCUAGAAGUAGCAGAAGCUUUCCAAGAACAAGAUGUGUCCAUAUCAUCACAAAAGGAGCUCCAGAAGAAGACAGACCUUUAUCAUCUUCAGAAGACUCCUAUGGGUUUGAGAAUUGAAUACAUUGGCCUAAAUAAAAAUAACUGCACAAUCACGCGUUCAAACAUCAUCAGUGAAGACAUGCCAGCAAAAAUUAAUUAUACAUGUUAAACAUAUAGAUUGUGUUCUCUAGAGAAUAACUACCUCCCAUGUAGUUUUAUGCACCACUUUUUUUUAAAGACUUUGUUGGAGUUGAAGGAAUCAAGGCGGUCUAAGAAACUGACAAAGUUUGAAAUGCUUCGUUUUGAAGUUGUUGACUAUAUAGACAGUCUUGUAAGAAAAUACCUGGUUCCUGCAGACCGCAGGACUCUGCAUGAGAUACUGUAUUUCAACACAGCUGCUGUUCUCCGUGGGCACUUGAAUGCUGCCCCGAGAACUGCACUUCAUACAGCUUUAAAUAACCCACACUGGUACCUGAAGAAUCAAGCUUUGAAGUGUGAUGGAGGAAGCAUUUCUAAUAAAGCCCCUGACAUUUGCAUAGUGUAUAAACUUCAUUUGGAGUGUGGCAGAUUAAUCAAUCUCGUUGACUGGUUAGAGGCUUUCUCAACUGUGGUGAUGGCAGGUGAGGAACCAAAUGCAGAUACAGCUUCCUCAGACCAGAUGGAUGAUAUUAUCCACGCUCGCUUUAUUCGAGCUGUUUCUGAGCUGGAGCUCUUGGGCUUCAUAAAGCCCAGCAAGCAGAAAACUGACCAUGUGGCAAGGUUGACAUGGGGGGGCUGUUAACGUGCCACCAAGGUGCUAAUAAACCUGUUCUUUCCAACACUGCAAUGGCUGUGUUCUCACUGAACCAGUCCUCGCUAACUUUGCUACUGAGUCAAAGUCAACAGUGGCUGAAUGUUGUGAGAUACAUUCCCAGUGCCUGGGCAGGCUUGAAUAGCGAUGUUGUUUUUUAAUGCUCAUCCUUCCUGUGCAAUGUACUGCACUAUUAAUGCCCAUGUUCCAAAUACUGUAUUGUUGUGCCAGUUUCAAUCUUUGAUGUGUGGUAUUUAACAGUACACUGAUAUAACUCAGGCUAGCAAGCCAAAAGGACAACACUGGCUGUGUAAGCUACAGAAGUGAUGAAGCAGUAUUAUUAACAUGCUUAUAAGCUGAUAGGACUUGAGUCAUUAUUAUAAAAUGCCUUCCAAAUCCCUGAACUUGAUUUAAAAAUAAAUAAAACAAGUACGCUAAAAACAACAAUGAACUUCCA